AUGUUCUCUUCCCGGGUCCCGUCGCCGGGCUGCCCUGUGCUGUGGGGCCUUUCACGGCUCCUGCUUUCCCAGAGUUCAAAGCACCGGGAAUACAGAGUCGUGUCAUUGUUGGGAGUCGGAGCGUCAGUGUUGUUUGAUGUCUGGGCCCAUGGUGUUUUGCUGGUAAAAUCAGCUCAGGCUAUUCUGAGUUACAGGAACUGUCAGGGAAGCCGUAAAGCAAGUGACGUGUCUUUUAGCAGGAGGGGGCGGGACCGGCUCGCUGAGGCGUCUGCUGCGAUUUUUGUAGCUGUUUCUGAAAACACUGGAGAUGGAUUCACUGGUGACAGCGCUGUGGCGGUGGUAAACGGCGAAACAGAAAAACCUAAAUGUUUUGCAGCUUUCCAGCUGCACCGUGGUCUUGACGUUCAGGGAGGUCCCGGGGAGGUCGUGAUCUUCCUAAACAAACAAAAGAACAACAGCAAUGAAAUGAAAAGGCGGCUGUCUCCUUGGUCUGCUCCCCCAGCGCCCCCGCCAGCCCUCCGUCCCUCCGGUGUUCUCUCCGGGAGGGGGUGGACGUCACUCACGUCCCUGUGGUCCGCUCCUUUCCCGCACGUGUGCGUGUAUCCACCGACAGCUCGCAGGGUGGGGUUGCACCUUCUAAGCGUGCAGAUGCGCACCUGCGCUGUACGCGCCACCCUGCACUGGUCCCUGCCGUCCAGGUCACGCCUGACGGCCCCCCCCCCACCCCCCGCCCCUCGUGAAGCCCCGGCUCGUGUCCACGGAUGGCCGUGCAGGGUCACGAUUCAUGGUCACAGCGGUCGCCUCUGAUUGUGCGCUGUUACAAUGAACAUCUUUGGACGUGUCGGGGGGCGGACAGUGUCGGAGACGGUCCGGGGACUUCCAGGGAGACGGCAGCAGGGUGAGGAGCCUGGGGGCCGCCCUCUCACGCUCUCCCCCGCCGUCUGGAGGGAAGCCGGGCCCCACCCUGAGCUCCCUGCGCGGAGGGCCUGUUUUUCCCCUGCCUGCUCAGGCCGCUGCGUCCUUGGCGGAAGUGGGACGGCCCCUUGGACUCCGCUGGCGCCUCUGCGGCUCUCACCGCACUCGGGUCACCGGAGCACAAGCGGAGCGCUUUCUCCGGGGCGGGGUCCCUCCCAGUCCCUCGGGGCCGGGCGCUCUCACCUUCAGGCCCACGCAGUCUCCUCCGCAAUCCCACCCUCUGCUCCCCGCCCCCUCCGCACCCCACCCCGGCUGCCUCGCGGCGCAGUCACCCCCCGCCGAGGCUGCCCGGUCACCCCGGCCCUUCACUCUGCUCGCGGUUGCUGUCAUCUCGUCCCCCUCCCCGUGGCCCCGUGAUGCCUGCCUAGCCGCAUACCCUGCCUUUAAAGGCAUUCCCAGGCAGCUUAUGGUCUUGAUGUUACUGUAGAUGGACUUCACUUCAUUUCCCAGCUGCUUGCCACUGGGUAUCUAAUACAAGGGCCGAUAAGGCUCUUCAGACCAAACAUCGAGAACCAGUGACAGUUCAGCAUGAACUUAAUUUUGGGGAGUUAAGCAGAGCAAAAAUUUGAGCUUAUUUUUGGUCAAUGUGAAAAUGACGUCCACAUUAAAAAAAAAAGUAUUAAUGAGUUUUUUAAAUUAAAAAAGUAUUGAGUUUUCUUCUUAAAAGUC
Molecule: long non-coding RNA, 1644 nt
Organism: Bos mutus (wild yak)
Lineage: Eukaryota; Metazoa; Chordata; Mammalia; Artiodactyla; Bovidae
Source: Ensembl